Non-coding RNA from Danio rerio (zebrafish), 1367 nucleotides. The record is from RefSeq and is a predicted model, not a curated record. Lineage: Eukaryota; Metazoa; Chordata; Actinopteri; Cypriniformes; Danionidae.
AAGCACUAUGAAUAUUUUCCGGAUGCACUGUAGAAUAUGCAGUUACAGUUUUACAGUGAAAACAUUCAGAUUUUAUAAAUACCCACAUAGCAAAAUGUCUCUUGCCUAGCUCUUGCCCACACAAUCAGGUUUUGCUUGGCCCACAUGCCGCAGUGAAUUACGGUACAUGACUGUACCAAGUCUGGCUUUCAGACAAGGGCCAAGCAUGGACCAUAUCUGGGCCAAGUGUCAGCCAAGUUAAGAAUCCAUAACUGAUCCUGAACUGGGCCAGAUAUGUUGGUGUGUCACGAGUCACGACUACAGUGAAACACUCUGACAAACCAGGGUCAUGUUUGAUGCUGUAUACCAGUGCCAGAUAAAUGCUUGCUGUGCCAGAUUUAUGCCAAAUCAGGACAAGAAUUCUUUGCCACCUGGGUAUGAACUCCAGCAAGGGCUAACCGUAUGCUUUAAUUUUACAGUUGCUAGGUUGUUAUACCUAAGAGGAGCCACUCCAAAUAAUCGUGUCAAUGACUUUUCAUACAUUUCCUUAAAUAGGCUUUAUGACAAAAUCUCUUUACUACUUAAGUUUUUUGACAGCAAAAAAAUAAAUAAAUCUGUUCAUUCCAGCUGCCUCCAUUAUUAUCUCACUUCCUCCCACUGGACAUUCCACAACAGUUCCGACCUUUUCUCACUUCGCUGGAGUGGCUGGGAUGCAAUAACACUUUGAUUAUGAAUUUCUUCUCCUUGAGAAAACCCAGACGAGUCUAGAACACACGCCAUGCUUUGAAAAAGUGGAAACUGAGAGUCAAUGACCGUCCUGUCGUACCAUCACAUCCUUUAUCACAUCCAUUUCCUCUUAACCCGCCAUGACCCCCAAUUUACAUAAGUCUUGCAUUCUCUGAUUUCGUUAAAAAAAUAUCUGUUUUCAACCCGUCGGUCAAAGUGGGUUUUAUUGCCGCUAGAGUUACCACAAACUUCCCUUUCACCCCUUUCUGAGGCGAACUUGACAAACAUUGACAAACAAGAAAAAAAUGUGUUGUUGACAUUGAUAAUAAACUCGAAAGUCUCUAAAACAUCUGCAAGGGAAGUUCGAGGGGAAAAUGGCUUAACGACGGGCCGACAUAAUUACGCUCAAUGAGGGGAACCUCUAACGCGUUCAUCCCGCUGCAUUUUAAUGAGUCGUGGGUGCCAAGUGGCAACUGUGGUUCCCAUCACACCAACCUCUGCAUCUUUCUCUUUCCAUUCCUAUAGGCAUAAACCAGGCUGACCAGUUUCAACAGUGGGGGAAAAGAAGAGCAACAUAUGAGGAGGAGAGAAGUCUAAGACCACACUGAAAACCCACACCAGGCCUUUCAAUGUCUUACCCGCUUUCUGAAACCAUUCUUCAC